AUUACUAGUACAUUAACAUUAAUCUCCUAUUUCUCCCUCAGAAUUUUAUCUCUCAUAACAUCCUUCUUUUUGGCAGAGAAAUUUAUUGUUACCAAAUGGCAGGGCAGUCAAGAAAAUGGAUGAUACUAGUGGCUACAACAUGGAUACAGGCAUUUACAGGGACAAACUUUGAUUUCUCAUCCUACUCUUCCAAUUUAAAAUCUGUUCUUGGGAUAUCACAGGUCCAGCUAAACUACUUGGCUGUGGCAUCUGAUAUGGGAAAGGCUUUUGGGUGGUGUUCUGGGUGGUCUCUUUUGCAUUUUCCUCUGUGGGUUGUCUUGUUCAUGGCUGCCUUCUUGGGGCUCUUUGGCUAUGGUGUUCAAUGGCUUGUCAUUUCCAAGAUCAUCACUUUGCCUUAUGUUCUGGUUAGUCCUCCAUUUUUCUCAAUCUAAUCUCUUUCUUGUUUUUUCUUUUUUUGAAGUUUCUGCUCUAGUUAUACAUUCAUGCGUGCUUAAAAUUCUCGCUUUUUAUGUUUUUCUUUUUUGGGGGCAUUUUCUAUUUGUUCCCUCCCUUCUUUUUGUGUUUCUUUUUUCCCAACUUUCUAGGAAAACCAGUGAAUUUUCUUGGUAAAUUUGUAAAACUGUCUUCUACAACACCACAACAACAUAUCCAUAGAAAUGUAAGUUCAUUUGGCUAAGCAAAUGGUUGGUGACUGGUAGGUAAUUGCACAAGAAAGAAAAGAUGUUUAUAUUUUAUGUUCUGGAGACAAAUUUUUUGACUAAGAAUUUGAAGGGGAGGGUUUUGCUGCUACCCAACCAGAGAUAGAACACAUCAAAAUCAAGCAUUUAAGCGUAUGUGGUGGCCACUUGAAAAUAAAAGGUUCACAGUUACUAAGGUCUUUAACUAUUCUAUAAAGCUAACUUGUAACUACCAUUCUCAUCUACCAGCCAUCUUCCAUUUAUUUUAAAUAUUUUUUUUUUCCUGGUUUGCUGGGCUUCCAAGGAAUAAAUGCAUUGCUUCAGUGAUCAAACUUUUUUAGAAUAAAAAAAAAUUAACUUGUUUAUGAAGAAAAUAAAUACCCAAUGGCCUUCUCGGUUAUAUUCACUUGCAUACUGCAACUGAAAACCUCACUGCACAUGACUAAAAUAUAAUAUAGAAACCUUCAAUGGAUCAGAAAGAGAUGGAAAUAGAGUGAGAUUUUGAGAUUUUUUUUUGGUCUUGUGGUGAGAAAAAAUAUAUCUAUUACCAUGUCAUGCAUCUACAUCACCUUACACAUCGGUAUAUUGUUUUCCCCUUUGAGUAGUUAAAUGUCAAUGGGUCUAGCUACAACCAAUCAAACAUUUACUUGGUCCUUAAGGGAUAACCUUGCACCAUUUCAAUGUGAUCUGUUUCUCCUUAAGUAUAACCAAUCAAACAUUUACUUGUUUCAAUUAUAUCAUUUUCAAGUCUGAUAUCCAUCUUUAGAUGAAAAACGACUAACACUUGAAUUUUAUUAGGAAUAAAUUUUCUUUUCAAUAAACUUAUUGAAUUAAUUUGAUUAAAUUCCUUGCUUUCAAUUUCAAAUUAAUCACUCAAAUCAACUUAAGUGAUGUGGAAAUUAAUGGUAGAAAUUUUCUGUCUUUGCAUGGGGCGUUGCUGUCCUCACAGAUGCUGACUUUGUUAUUUGGCAGGUAUUUCUCCUAUGCUUGACUGCUGGAUGCAGCAUCUGCUGGUUCAACACAGUGUGCUAUGUUCUAUGCAUAAAAAACUUUUCAACAAACAGAGCAUUAGCAUUAUCCCUCACCAUCAGUUUCAAUGGAGUUAGUGCUGCCAUCUAUACCCUCAUUGCAAAUGCAAUAAACCCUCAAAAUGAUACUCUGUACCUCCUCUUAAAUGCAGCUGUCCCUCUUCUUGUGUCUGUUCUGGCACUGGUCCCUAUCCUACGCCAACCACCUUUGCAGCACCUUGCCACUGAUGCUACGAGCUGGGACUCCUCCAUUUUUCUUGUCCUCAACAUUCUAGCCAUUAUCACUGGCCUAUAUCUGCUCCUCUUGGAUUCAUUAUCCUCAGUUUCGUCAACAGCACGCUUCCUUCUCGGAGGUGCUAUUCUUCUGUUAGUCCUUCCCUUGUGCUUACCAGGUAUUGUGUGUGCAAGAAACUGGGCUAGGCAGACCAUCCAUGCAAGUUUCCAUUCUGAUGGUUCAAGAUUCAAUUUGGUUGACACUGAUGACCUCGAGCUUGUUAAAGAACUCAUCCGAAGUGAAAACGGUAGUGGCUCAAAUGGCAAUUCCUAUAGGGUGAUGGAGAAAGGGGUUUGUCUUACUUGUUUUGGAAGGGUAAUGGAGAAGGAUAGGUUGACUAUGCUUGGCGAAGAGCACUCAGCUCCAGCACUAGUGCGUAGGUGGGAUUUUUGGAUAUACUACGUUACAUAUUUCUGUGGAGGGACAAUAGGGCUGGUUUACAGUAAUAAUCUAGGACAGAUUGCUGAGUCUCUUGGAUAUUCAGAACUUAGUUACCUCGUUACCCUCUACUCAUCAUGCUCAUUCUUUGGUCGCUUGCUUUCAGCUGCCCCAGAUUUCCUGCGUGAGUAUGUAUUCACUGUGAAACUAAAUAUUUGCUAUGCACAGCACUGAUUCAUAACAGAAAAAAUUAGUGGUAAUAUAUUGCCUUAGAUAAAGAGUAAAAAAUCAUAUGCUCUAAUAGCUGAACAGAGAAGUUAAUGAUAAAAAUUUGAGAUCUUUUUCUCUUUUGGAAAAUGAGUCCCAGGUAUACUGCACACCUAGGGAAGGCACAACCAUUAAAAGUUGCUUGAACUUUUGAUGGUUUAGUCCUUACUUAAGCACAUCUCCUAGUGUAUCAUGCAGAUCCUAGUCAGUACUUGUACGUCACAGAAAUUUGAACUAACUUAUAUAGUAUUAGUCAAAUUGAAGAAAAAACUAAAGGUUUGAAAGUUCACCAAUGCAGCAAGGUGUACUUUGCAAGGACUGGGUGGUUAGCAGUUGUAAUUGUGCCAACACCAAUUGCCUUCUUCUUGCUUGUUGCAUCAGGCAGUGAGGAAGCAUUGCAAGCUUGUACAGCUCUGGUUGGACUAAGCUCUGGGUUUGUAUUUUCAGCAGCUGUGUCAAUCACAUCUGAGCUAUUUGGGCCAAAUAGUGCUGGGGUCAACCACAACAUCCUCAUCACCAACAUCCCUAUUGGAUCACUCCUCUAUGGUCUUCUUGCAGCUAUUGUGUAUGAUUCCAAUGCAGGAAGUACCAGCUUGUUGGAGACCCAGUUGGGGAAAGAAAUGGUGUGCAUGGGUAGGCAAUGCUACUUGAAGACCUUCAUAGUCUGGGGUUGCAUAUCACUGGUAGGCCUAGUUUCAAGCUUUUUGCUUUUUCUGCGAACCAGACCUGCAUAUGACCAUUUCAAAAGCAGCCGAAACAGGACACAAUCCUCUUAACUGAGAAAUUUGCCCUUUUGACAGUAGGUUCUGAAUUCUAUAUUUAGCUUUGAAAUAUCCACAGAUGGGAUGCCAAAAUGAACUAGAAAAAGAUCAUAGAAGAAAUUACAAGUAAUAAAAGAUAAUGUGGGCACAAGCCAGCUUGUAGUUAGUGAAGUCACUUGGCAUUGUGUCCAAAGAUCAAAGAUCAAAUCCCACUCACGCCUGGAAUGGGAGGGAUUAAGGUAGAGGGAGGGCUACCCCAGCUGUGUAGCUCAGUGUGUUGGCCUAAAUACUGUUCUUGGACUGAGAAAAAAGAAAAACUAAUUCUAAGAACACGCAAAUUAAAGAGGACUUAUUGACAUCAAGGGCCAAAACAGCAAACAGCCAUAGGGCAUAUCGUUUCUGCAGAAGACUGUCUUUUUACCACAAACAACCAUUAAAAAUGCCAGCAUUAGGUACGCUAUGCUGCCUCUGGGCACUCGGAGCUCCAGUAGGCCUUGCAGGACCAACGGAGCUGCAAACCCACCCAACAACCCUAGAGAGCGAGAAGAUUCAAGAAGACAAGAACCACUGCAUACAGUAAGCAAAUUGGCUAAAACAUAACUUGGUCCUGCACCCAAUUCAUAAUUCACAAAUUGGGAUAUGUCAAAGGGGUAUGCUCAUAUUACAAUGUGUAAUUGGUCCUAAUCCCGCAGCAGCUACACAUUAACAACCAAAAUUUUGGAAUCAUUUCAACAAUGAAAAGGCCAAACAUUAUAAAACUUAGUCAAGAUUGGCAAUCAAAUUUCAACUGCAAGAAGCAAUUAAAUAUGCAUAUAAUCAUUUAAAGGAGAAAUUGAGAUUCACCAAAACAAAUUUCAACUGCAAGGAGCAUUCACCAAUAAAACUCUAUGCAAAAGGUCCAUCUAAGCCACUUCAGCAAUAAAAUGUAAUGGAAAAUAAUGCUUCUCAAAUCUCAAUUGAAGCCAACAAUACCAGUGCCAAUUAUCCUCAUGCAUAUGAAGCAAUGAUCAUGAUAUUUCUAACUGUAACCAGACAAUUUCCUAAAAUUAACUUAAGAAUCUCUUUCUUAGAAAUCUGCACCAUUAGCAUGAAUCUAAUUUCCUGCGUCACCACUGGUUUGCUGUAGGAAGGCAACACACAAGUAAUUUUUGGCGUUGCUAAAAGGUAUUGCUUCACAGCAUAAGAUGGGAGAUUAGGCAACUAAAUUACUAUAGCAUUUUUGCAGACAAAGAAAUGAGGUUAAUCAUAACCCCGUCAGGCCCUUGUCAGUGCUGAUAGUAGCACUUAGUCAAAAGUCACUUGCAGCUAGGACAUGGUGCAUGGCUCUUGGGUACCCCGAACCGAAUUCUAGAAUCGAAAUGAACAGAAUUCAAAAAAGAACAAAAACUGUAGGAAUCAAACCAAAUCAAGAACUAAUCCAAAGCCAAUUUUAU
Molecule: unclassified non-coding RNA, 4818 nt
Filed under: Hevea brasiliensis (rubber tree)
Lineage: Eukaryota; Viridiplantae; Streptophyta; Magnoliopsida; Malpighiales; Euphorbiaceae
Source: RNAcentral